Molecule: unclassified non-coding RNA, 433 nt
Filed under: soil metagenome
Description: partial contains 5.8S ribosomal RNA, internal transcribed spacer 2, and large subunit ribosomal RNA
Rfam family: 5.8S ribosomal RNA (bases 1-120)
Source: RNAcentral
GAUGAAGAACGUAGCGAAAUGCGAUACGUAAUGUGAAUUGCAGAAUUCAGUGAAUCAUCGAAUCUUUGAACGCAUAUUGCGCUCUCUGGUAUUCCGGAGAGCAUGCUUGUUUGAGUAUCAGUAAACACCUCAACUUCCAUAUCUUUUUUGAAAUGGGAGUUGGACUUGAGUGAUCCCAACGCUUUUCCUCACCGAAAAGCGGCGGGUUACUUGAAAUGCAGGUGCAGCUGGACUUUUCUCUGAGCUAUAAGCAUAUCUAUUUAGUCUGCCUAAAAAACAGAUUAUUACCUUUGCUGCAGCUAACAUAAAGGAGAUUAGUUCUUGUGCUGACUGAUGCAGGAUUCACAAAGACAGGCUUCGGCCGACUUUGUAAACUCGUUCUCAAAUCAAGUAAGACUACCCGCUGAACUUAAGCAUAUCAAUAAGCGGAGGA